This 883-nucleotide long non-coding RNA is filed under the name Panax ginseng (ginseng). Its description in RNAcentral is "long non-coding RNA (PGIN_LNC017695)". The record is from RNAcentral. Lineage: Eukaryota; Viridiplantae; Streptophyta; Magnoliopsida; Apiales; Araliaceae.
UCGAUUUUUAAUUAACAAUUACGUAGAUAUGUAUUAGUGAUAACCUUUUGGGAGAGAUGUGUAUUAAUGUAAUGGUGUCCUCUUAUAAUUUUAUCUAAUCCAAGUAUUAGUAUGUUUCGUAAUUGUAUUUCGACAAAAAUUUAUAACAACACAUAACAGGACUCAUAAUAAUAUUUUUGGUCAUAUGUUAAAAAAACAAAAUAAUUACAUUUAGAGUCAAAAAUCUUCAUUUGUUUUCAUGUCAGCUGGACCACCAAAACAUGAAGCUGCUUUGCUCAACCUCCACAACCCCUUCUCACUUCUCCGAUGAACCCCCGCCAUUACUUCAACACCACAACCACCAUUAUUUGAUGGGAAGAAGGUCGAUGGAGCGUGUCGACUCUGCCGGUUUCUAAUAUCAUUCUUGAGCUCCAUCUGAUCAGUAGGAAUCUUAGGGGGCAAUCCAAACAACACAAGUAACAACUUUGCUUUCACCGGCGACGAAAAACUAGACACCUUUGCAACCAAUACCCCAUUUUUAUCCCUACCCUUUUUACCACUUGAGCUCCUCUUUGACCUACUAGAAGAAGUGCUUUUGGAUUUGACAAAUACGGAAUCUGAUUUAUUUAGGGUUGGUUUUUCUUGACAUUUGCUUUUGGAGAUAGGUUUAUGUGAAGGAAUUUGCUUCCCACCAAAGAUGGUAUUUUGGGGUACGAAUGGAUUAGAAGAAAAAAUAUUAAUAGGUGUAGUAUUAAUAUCUUUCCAUUCUUCACUAAAAAACUCAAAGAAUUCUUGGCCGUCGGAUGAUGAUGAUAAGGAUGAAUCCUGAUAAUGAUCAUCUACAGUUGAGUCUCUUGUGUGUAUUGGAAGAUCACAAAGAGAGAGAGUGUCAUCAUCUUCAGNN